AAUUCCUUUACUGAAGCAACAGUACGAGGAACACCUUGUGCAGGACCAAAAGUUCUGGGAAGAACAGGAAGAAGAAAGGAUCAGUAAGGCAGUGUCCGAGCAUAAGAAGCUAGUGGAAACCAGUGGAAGGCUGCAGCGAAUGGUGUCAGAUAAAGAGACGUUUGUUGACAGCCUCCUUAAAGCUCGUCAGGCGUCUCAUGAGGAAAAAAUGAAAGAAUUCCAAGCCCGUUUGGACGACGUACGCAAGAAACGUUUGGAGGAGCGACGGAAAGAACGCAUUUUGGAGAGGAAGGUCCAGCGACGAAUUGAAAGAGAAGAGAAAGAAAAAAAGGAAAAGGAGGAAAGAGAAAA
Molecule: long non-coding RNA, 351 nt
Organism: Stylophora pistillata
Lineage: Eukaryota; Metazoa; Cnidaria; Anthozoa; Scleractinia; Pocilloporidae
Source: RefSeq, a predicted model, not a curated record